Molecule: ribosomal RNA, 501 nt
Filed under: Blaps medusula
Lineage: Eukaryota; Metazoa; Arthropoda; Insecta; Coleoptera; Tenebrionidae
Description: partial 16S ribosomal RNA
Rfam family: Bacterial large subunit ribosomal RNA
Source: RNAcentral
GAUUUAAAGUCCGGCCUGCCCAAUGAUUUUUAAAUGGCUGCAGUAUUUUGACUGUACAAAGGUAGCAUAAUCAUUAGUUUCUUAAUUAGGAGCUGGAAUGAAUGGUUUGAUGAGAAAUUAACUGUCUCAGUUUAAUUAUUUAGAAAUUUAUUUUUAAGUGAAAAAGCUUAAAUUUUUUAAAAAGACGAGAAGACCCUAUAGAGUUUGAUAUAUUGUUAGUUAUUUAUUUAUGUUUUUAAUGUUUAUAAUUUUUUAAUGUAUUUUGUUGGGGUGACAAGAAAAUUUUUUUAACUUUUCUUUAUUUUUACACUUUUUGGUGAGUAUAAGAUCCUUUGUUUGGAUUAUUAGAUUAAAUUACCUUAGGGAUAACAGCGUAAUUUUUUUUGAAAGUUCUUAUUGAUAAAAAAGUUUGCGACCUCGAUGUUGGAUUAAAGUUUAUUUUUGGUGAAGAAGCUAGAAAAUUUAAGUCUGUUCGACUUUUAGAACUUUACGUGAUCUGAG